This 196-nucleotide non-coding RNA is filed under the name Bradyrhizobium elkanii. Lineage: Bacteria; Pseudomonadati; Pseudomonadota; Alphaproteobacteria; Hyphomicrobiales; Nitrobacteraceae. The record is from RNAcentral.
UCUUAAUCGUUUGUCGACGGUUCCCUUCGGGGAUCAAAAGGGAAUGCGGUGCGAGGGAAACCCCAAUGCCGCAGCUGUCCCCGCAACUGUAAACGGCGAGCCUUUCGUCAAUUUGCCACUGGGCUGUCAGGCCCGGGAAGGCGUCGACAGGCGAUGACCCGUGAGCCAGGAGACCUGCCGUCAGUCGUGGUCACAC